AGAGGGUUCSUUCCGUAGGUGAACCUGCGGAAGGAUCAUUAAUGAAAUGAAUGUCGAAAAGGGUUGUAGCUGGCCUCUUGAGGUAUGUGCACACCUUUAUCGCGCAUCCACAUCUCACACCUGUGCACAACCUGUAGCUUGGGAUGAUUACAAUUCUGGAAACGGUAUUGAAAGCCCUUGCUAUGAAUUUUUAAACAACCGUAUUAAAAGUUAUAGAAUGUUAUGGCGUGUAACAGCGCAAAUAAAUAUACAACUUUCAGCAACGGAUCUCUUGGCUCUCGCAUCGAUGAAGAACGCAGCGAAAUGCGAUAAGUAAUGUGAAUUGCAGAAUUCAGUGAAUCAUCGAAUCUUUGAACGCACCUUGCGCUCCUUGGUAUUCUGAGGAGCAUGCCUGUUUGAGUGUCAUGAAGCUCUCAACUGCUUUAGCUUGUUAUGGUUGAAGUGAAGUUGGAUUUGGAGGAAUGAUUAUUGCUGGCGUGACCUUUUCAGGUUGCUUGUUAGCUCCUCUUAAAUGGAUGAACUUUCCAGUAGUAAAAUAACACCAAUGUGAUAAUUAUCUACGUUGGAUGUGCUUUUUACAAGGAAAGAUAUAUCUGUCUUGAAGGCAAACACCUCUUGACGAAACAAAUGACAAAUUUGACCUCAAAUCAGGUAGGACYA
RNAcentral lists this ribosomal RNA (660 nucleotides) under uncultured Pseudotomentella. Its description in RNAcentral is "eukaryotic LSU rRNA". The stretch from base 252 to 405 matches the Rfam family "5.8S ribosomal RNA". The record is from RNAcentral. Lineage: Eukaryota; Fungi; Basidiomycota; Agaricomycetes; Thelephorales; Thelephoraceae.